UGGUGGGUUGCCUUGUCAGGUUGAUUCCGGUAACGAACGAGACCUCAGCCUGCUAAAUAGUGACGUCUGCUGCGGCAGUCGCGCGCUCCUUAGAGGGACUGUUGGCGUCUAGCCAAUGGAAGUAUGAGGCAAUAACA
This 137-nucleotide ribosomal RNA is filed under the name uncultured eukaryote. Its description in RNAcentral is "partial 18S ribosomal RNA". It matches the Rfam family "Eukaryotic small subunit ribosomal RNA", at positions 1299 to 1458 of the family's 1831-position model. The record is from RNAcentral.